RNAcentral lists this long non-coding RNA (664 nucleotides) under Pan troglodytes (chimpanzee). RNAcentral's name for it is "lincRNA". Lineage: Eukaryota; Metazoa; Chordata; Mammalia; Primates; Hominidae. The record is from RNAcentral.
UUUCACCACUUUGUGUGUCCAAGGACCACCUACUUUUUACAUGUGACAAGAACUACCCACCUCCACUCUUCAGGAUAGAACAUGCUGAAGAAAAGAGUUGCAAUGAGAAAAUAUAUGGGAACAAAAUACCUGUGCAAUGCAGAGGUCUGCAUAACUGAACCACUCAGAGGAAAAAAUUUCCCUCCCAGGCUGGAGUACAAUGGCGCGACCUCGGCUCACUGCAACUUCCAUCUCCCAGGUUCAAGCAAUUCUCCCACCUCAGCCUCCUUACUAGCUGGGAUUACAAGCGCCUGACACCAGGCCCAGCUAUUUUUGUAUUUUUAGUAGAGACGGGGUUUCACCAUUUUGACUAGGCUGGUCUCAAACUCCUGACCUCAGUCCAUCGGUCCACCUCGGCCUCCCAAAGUGCUGGGAUUGCAGGCAUGAGCCACCGCUCCUGGCCUCAAGUUUAAUUCUUAAGUGCUCUUCUUCACUCUCUGGCUUGCUCACUUUCUGGGAAGACAUUUGUCAUACUGUGAGAUACCCUAUGAAAAGUCUAAAAUUGCAAGAAGUGAGAGGCUCCAGACAACAGCCAGAUUGCCAUUUCAGGACACCUCCUACAUCUGAAGAAAUAUGCAUUGAUCUUGCAGAACUUUUCUCCUCCAAAUAAAAGUCAGUAUGAUAA